RNAcentral lists this ribosomal RNA (535 nucleotides) under uncultured Lysobacter sp. RNAcentral's name for it is "bacterial SSU rRNA". It matches the Rfam family "Bacterial small subunit ribosomal RNA", at positions 9 to 535 of the family's 1533-position model. Lineage: Bacteria; Pseudomonadati; Pseudomonadota; Gammaproteobacteria; Lysobacterales; Lysobacteraceae. The record is from RNAcentral.
GAGUUUGAUCCUGGCUCAGAGUGAACGCUGGCGGCAGGCCUAACACAUGCAAGUCGAGCGGCAGCGGGUCCUUCGGGAUGCCGGCGAGCGGCGGACGGGUGAGGAAUACAUCGGAAUCUGCCCUGUCGUGGGGGAUAACCUAGGGAAACUUAGGCUAAUACCGCAUACGACCUACGGGUGAAAGCGGGGGAUCGCAAGACCUCGCGCGACAGGAUGAGCCGAUGUCCGAUUAGCUAGUUGGCGGGGUAAAGGCCCACCAAGGCGACGAUCGGUAGCUGGUCUGAGAGGAUGAUCAGCCACACUGGGACUGAGACACGGCCCAGACUCCUACGGGAGGCAGCAGUGGGGAAUAUUGGACAAUGGGCGCAAGCCUGAUCCAGCCAUGCCGCGUGGGUGAAGAAGGCCUUCGGGUUGUAAAGCCCUUUUGUCCGGGAAGAAAUCGUCUGGGCUAAUACCCCGGGCGGAUGACGGUACCGGAAGAAUAAGCACCGGCUAACUUCGUGCCAGCAGCCGCGGUAAAGGGCGAAUUCGCGGC